CAGUAGCCGCGGUAAUACGGAGGAUCCAAGCGUUAUCCGGAAUCAUUGGGUUUAAAGGGUCCGUAGGCGGUUUAGUAAGUCAGUGGUGAAAGCCCAUCGCUCAACGGUGGAACGGCCAUUGAUACUGCUGAACUUGAAUUAUUAGGAAGUAACUAGAAUAUGUAGUGUAGCGGUGAAAUGCUUAGAGAUUACAUGGAAUACCAAUUGCGAAGGCAGGUUACUACUAAUUGAUUGACGCUGAUGGACGAAAGCGUGGGGAGCGAACAGGAUUAGAUACCCGAGUAGUCCCUGUCUCUUAUAA
RNAcentral lists this ribosomal RNA (301 nucleotides) under uncultured bacterium. Its description in RNAcentral is "partial 16S ribosomal RNA". It matches the Rfam family "Bacterial small subunit ribosomal RNA", at positions 509 to 809 of the family's 1533-position model. The record is from RNAcentral.